AUAAAGCUGUAAAAAUCUCACCUGCUCGUCUUUGAUGUUGCAAUUAGCACAUUCAGCAUUUUCAGUAUCUACUAAAUAAAUAUAUGAAAGUGCCAAAUGUCCAAGAUACCAUGACGUCCUCCUCAAAAUGUUAGAUCCUUUGAACUCCAUUUAUUUUAUCCCUGAUUAAUCCUCUCACACAUGAGGCCUACAUGUAAGAUUCCUUGUAAUGUUCACAGCGUUUAUUUUAAAUUGUUUACGUUCUCAAAUUUUAGCAGGUAUUUAAUUAUAAAUAUUUAUUUAUGAUAUUGAUUUAUUUACUAUUUCGAAGAUACAGUCUUGCAACGUGUUUAGUUAGUCUAAGUUACGUGUUUAGUGAUUCUUACAAACAAUAGACUGACAUAAAAAGUGGCUCCUUUUGAAACACAAACUGCAUCCAUGUAUAUAUUACAGCAGGCCCGGUUUGAUGGGGCCUGUUUUUGAUAAUAAUUAAUUACCAUUUUUCACUUCCGUGUUUAUUAUGUUUACCAACGCCAUGAUGGAAAAAAGUCCGUUUCCCACAAUCCUUAGCGCGCAUUCACACAGGUCAGUAAGACCGGUGUGACACAAUGCUGUCAAGUCUGUCAAAGAAUGCUGAAGGGAACGAAUUUUUCUCGACGGUCCAGAAUGGGCCAAAUAUUAAAUAAAAUGAUAAGAGUGAAGCGAAUUGUCGUCAAUUGAAUUGGAACUAAAAACUGUUGCGAAAAUUCAGAUUGUUGAGGAAGGCGGUCAUGCCAGAAGGUUUACAUCCAAUAUUGCCCAGGGGGACAGUAAUUAGAACAAUUUCUUUAAGUUUGUGUGGACACAGAGGCUUGAAUGUAGAAAUCAAAGAGUGGACAUGCGUAUAAAAUAUCGCCAACAGACCAUGGACGGAUAAAGAGAAAAAUCUACUAUUGUGAUUGAAAGUUUAAAAUAUACAGCAAAUAAACUUCAAAUAGAAAUUUAAACAUACAAGAAGUAGGACCUUGACCAUGCCUCAACAACAUCAGGAACAAGAAGUCAAACAUGCAAUAUUAAUUCACAUGCUUGUAGCUAAUAGCACAUGAGCAUUAGCAAGUGAAGGAGAGAAACAAUAACUAAUGACCAUAAAAUUAUCUAUUGAUACUUAUCAAAAUUGGAUCCAUUCUGGACAUCUUCAAGAGUCUAGCCAGCUCUAUUGAUGCUUAAAAAUUGGAUCCAUUCUGGAAAUUGUAAGAGUCUAGCCAGCUCUAUUGAUACUAACCAAAAUUGGAUCCAUUCAGGAGAAUUUCAAGUGUGUAGCCAGCUCUAUUGAUAUUGACCAAAACUCAAUCCAUUCUGGACAUUUGCAAGAGUGUAUCCAGUCCUGUUGAAAUUGACCGAAUUUUGAUCCAUUCUGGACAUUUUCAAGAGUGAAGCCAGCUCUAUUGUUACUUACUAAAAUUGGAUCCAUUGUGGACACUUUCAAGACUCUAGCUAGCUCUAUUGAUUCUUACCAAAAUUUGAUCUAUUCGGGACAAUUUGAAGAGUCAAGCCAGCUGUAUUGGUACUCACCAAAAUUGGAUCCAUUCUUGACAACUUCAAGACUCUAGCCAGCUCUCUUGAUACUUACCAAAAUUUGAUCUAUUCUAUACAAAUUCAAGAGUCUAGCCAGCUCUAUUGAUACUUACCAAAAUUGGAUCCAUUCUGGACAAUUUCAAGAGUCUAGCAAGCUCUAUUGAUACUUACCGAAAAUGGAUCCAAUCUAGACAAUUUCAAGAGUCAAGCCAGCUCUCUUGAUACUUACCAAAAUUGGAUCCAUUUUGGACAAUUUCAAGAGUAUAGCCAGCUCUAUUGAUACCAAAAUUGGAUCCAUUCUGGACAAUUUCAAGAGUGAAGCCAGAUCUAUUGAUACUUACAAAAAUUGGAUCCAUUCUGGACAUUUUCAAGAGUGUACCCAGAACUAUUGUUACUUGCCAAAAUUGGAUCCAUUCUAUACAAUUUCAAGAGUCUAGCCUGCACUAUUGAUACUUAACAAAAUUGGAUCCAAUCCGGACAUUUUCAAGCGUUUAGCAAGCCUUGUUGAUACUGACCGAAUUCGGAUUCAUUCUGUACAUUGUCAAAAUAUUUUUGAUUGAUCAUAUAAUGUCCCUGGGAUGAAAAUAAGCCACACCUUUUUGCUUUUUAUUAAAGGGGCCUUUUUAAGUUUUGGUAAAUUGUCAAAAUUGUUUCAUAUUUUUAUGUCCCCCACCACUAUAGUGGUUUAUAAAAUUAUAAAUCGUUGCAAUGCAAAACGAUUGAAUAAUAUGGAAAGUUCUGUUGUCGUUGUUAUAUUUUGUGAAACUACGAGAAUUGCUUAUAUUAAGUAUAAAAUACCUUCCACAUUGUAUGACCACAAAUGACCGAGUGGUCAAAGCAGUAGACUUUUACUCCAGUACUCCAGUUGUCAGUGGUUCUAUCCCUGUUGAGGGUUCAACCAAGAUUUGAUUUUCAAUUUGUGUCUAGUUAUACACUGGGGACCAUGGCGUUUUCCUUAUAUGCAUGUUAUAAAAAUUAUUAUUAUCCUAGACCCAAACAACAAAGAUAAAGAGCCUGCAAUUGAGGUUGCAUCUGAAUAUUGUAUGGUAUUUGUUUGAACUACACAGGCCCUCUGGGAACUAUUUAAAAAAACAUUAUUGAUCCAUUUUUUUUAUCUUUAACAACUUUUAUAAUUUUUCUCAGUACAUACUCCGGUUUGACUUGAAACAUACAAACUAGUGAAAAUAAUAAGUACUGCCAUAAUUACCAUGGCAAUGUGUUGUUUUUUGGUUAAAGGCCAAUGUGCAGACUUACUACUAAAUGAUGAAAUAAUGAUGUAAUGUUACUGUUUUAAAUUUUAGAAAGAAUGUGUUUUGAUAUUCUAAGCAUUUUUUAUUUAUUUUUCAUGUAAAAUAUACACUUUUGAAAAAUUGUGUUUUAUAACUGUUAAGUUAAAUACACAGGUAUUUCAGUUUGGUUAUGUAGCGGGGUUUGUGUAUUGACACAAGGGGUUAUAGUUGCCAACUUUUAUUAAGCCCCCCUUUGAAGAAGAGGGGGUAUAUUGUUUUGCACAUGUCGGUUCGUCCACCAGAUGGUUUCCGGAUGAGAGCGCUUAGGCCUAGGAUCAUGAAACUUCAUAGGAACAUUGAUCAUGACUGGCAGAUGACCCAUAUUGAUUUUCAGGUCACUAGGUCAAAGGUCAUGGGCACAGUGACUCGAAAUAGUAAAAUGGUUUCCGGAUGAUAACUCAAGAAUGCUUACGCCUAGGAUCAUGAAACUUCAUAUGUACAUUGAUCAUGACUGGCAAAUGACCCUUUCGAUUUUCAGGUCACUAGGUCAAAGGUCAAGGUCACAGUGACUCGAAACAGUAAAAUGGUUUCCGGAUGAUAACUCAAGAAUGCUUACGCCUAGUUUUAAUUAUAUAAUUGAUAAUGGUAUGAAACAAAAUAACAUAAAGUAUUAUAAGUAUUAUCAUAAAUUAUAAAUCAGAUAAUUGAUAAAUACAAUAUCAUUCAAAUAAUAUAAUGAUUACAAUUUUAACAAGUAUACAAGUAAAUACACUAAAAAUAAUAAAAUGACUCACCAGUAACCAUAUGAAGAAAGAAACUAAAGAUAGUAGGUUUAAGCAAAUGAAAAAUGCUUGUACCUCUUGCAAGGUUUAGUAACGAAAUGAAUCAAAUGUUUCAGAUAUAUAAAACCAUAAAUAUGUAUCUGAAAUCAGCUCACCUAAAAAGCUUUCUCCAUUAUUAAUAUACGGUAGCUCACUCAUUUAUCACACUGAAUCCCUCUUGAUUGGAUAAGUAGUUAUAAUUAUUUAUAAAACUGGUGUUUUGUUUUGUUUUCAUUGUGUUGCCUUUUUGCUUUUUGCUUUCUCUGAGAAAUUUGCAUCUUGAUUUUUUUCAUUUGCUUUAUUAGGUUUGCAUUCUGAUGCUUUUUUUGCUUUUGCUUUCUUGAGCUUAACAGUAUGUAUAUAUAAUACUAGUGACACUACAACAGUUUGCUGUUGUUGUCUUAUUUCGUUCAUUUCAUUUGAUAUCUUGUUGAAGAACUUGUAGUACUGUAUGUAUGUAGCAUUAAUCAAUGCUUCUUUGCUCAUCAUUUGCCUUUGAAGCUCUGAAAUAGUGCUAGUUACACAUGCGGGAUAAUCAUUUCAGCAUUAGUAUUGUAUUAUUUUGCUUUUAUAAUUAUAUUUUAUUUUUUAUUCAUCAGUGUUGUAUUGUGUUGCUUAUAUUAUGUGAAAUUUGCUGAUAUUUUUCCUUCAAAUCUGGUUUGAGGUGAUAAUUUCCUUUAAGCCCUUUUUAUUUUGUGGCACUAUUGUGUUCUAUUUUCUCUGUAAGCAUUUUACACCAUUUCUUUUUAUGGUACCUUAGGCCCCUUCCUUGUGUCAACAUCAAGAAUCUUUUAAACAGCUCUUAAUUUUGAAUGUAUAGUACUGAUAUUAUAUUUCUGCUUACAUUUGAAUAAUGUCCUAUAGGAAUACUGCUUUAAUUGUGUUUUUAUUGUGCUUUAUUAGAAUAACUAUUUCUUAUGUAUGCCAUGUAUUAUUAAUGUGUUGCAAUUUGCUACUGCUUGUUAGUUUGGUAAACAGCUAUACAUAGCGUAUGUUAUAUACAUGUUAUUUCAUACUGACAAUAAAUUCGUUUUGAUGUGA
Dreissena polymorpha is the source of this 4624-nucleotide long non-coding RNA. RefSeq lists it as uncharacterized. Lineage: Eukaryota; Metazoa; Mollusca; Bivalvia; Myida; Dreissenidae. The transcript has 2 exons. The record is from RefSeq and is a predicted model, not a curated record.